UAGUUCCCGAGCCGGUGUACGCGGUUGCUUUACCCCUCCCCGCUCCCACGCGGGUGCCCCCUCCAGCCAUCGCUACUGCCACCACCUCGGUUCCACUCAAUCGAUUUUUGCUGCAUGUCAACACUUAUUCCCGCUUCUCCAAAGGCCACUGCUUCUCCUUCAGUGUGUUCACAGCCUGUACAGUGAUCCCGAAAGUUUCAGGGGACGAGGGGAAGAUGGCAACUGAGACACGGGGGAACAGGUUUUUCAGGGAAUCAGUAGGCAUCAGGCAUAUGAUUAGAACUUGGUGGAAAGACAUCUUCCUCCACUGAAGAGCUGCCCCUUUUCCACCCUCCUCUGAGUGCUUUCCCUUUCUCAUUUCUUCCAACUGUUCUCAAGGAGCUAUGCUCAAGGAACUGCACCUAGAAAGCUUCAUCCACAUCUGAGCCUGGUUGAGAUGACAAGAUUCUAGCCUUUGAAAUGAUGCUGUAAUGGGUUGAAACUUUUGGUGGCUUUGAGGUGUGAGUAUCAUUUACCUGUGGGAGGGAGAUUAGUCAAUGAGAGAUAGAGGAUAGACUCCUGGGUCAACCUUCAAUAUGGUGCUCAAGUAAUUCUUGCUUCUUGGUAUUCACGCCCCUGUGUAGUCCUUCCUUCCCCACAUUGGCUUGUAUAAUCAAUAGCAUAUUAUGGAAAUGACAAUACGUGGUUCCUAAGACCAGGACAUAAAAGAUAAUUGCAGCUUCUGCCUUGCUCUCUCUUGGACAACUCACUCUUGAGGAAGUCAGAGAUCAUGUCAUUUCAUGAGGACACUCCAGCUGCCCUAAUGACAGAGCCAUGUGGUAAUGAUCUGAGCCAGCAUGAACUUGACUGCCAUGUAAGUGAGCCAUCCUAGAGGCAAAUCCUGGAGGCGGCUCCAGUCAAGCUUUCAGAGGACUGUAGAUAUAGCUGAGAUUUUACCCAUAACCUCAUAAGAGACACUAAACCAGGAUUACCCAGCUAAGCUGCCCUUAAAUUCCUGAGCCACAGAAACUGUGAAAGAUAAUAACUGUUUGUUGUUGUUUUCAGCCACUAGAUUUGGGGGUAAUUUUUUUUUUUUUUUAUAAAGCAACGGACAACUAAAACAGUAAACUACAAUCUCAUUAUAAGGCAAAAGUUGAAAUGACUGCUUAAAAAUGUUAUGUUUUUUGACUGCAUCAAUUGAACAAAGGUUCCAUGUCAGAGAUGGUAAUAGUUCACUUCUAGACUUAUAACAAUUUAAGAUAUUGUAUGUAGUUUGAGUCAUAUACUUUGAAAGACACUGGCAAACACAAUGAGAGCACUAAGGACUAUCAGGAUAGCGAAGACUUAACAAACUAUAACAUGAAGAGUACAUGAGAACACCUGGUGAAAAUCUGAGUAGAUUUAGGGAUGACAUGACAUCUGUACAUGUGUUUAAAGCAUUAGCACAAGAAACAUGUAAUGGCAUAGCCUCUCUUCCUUCCAAGGGGAGAAACGAAGAAAAGGCUACAAGUUAUAUAACAGUAGAUUUUAAAUAACACAGAGAAGUAUUUUUUGAGGCUUCCAGUUAUCUAACAAAAGAAUGAUUUCUUCAUUGGAAGAGUUGAAACACAGGCUAGAUUAUCACCUAUAAAAAAUGUAGUACAGAAAAAUUCUGGACUAGGAUGUUGGAUAAACUUCGCAAAAUGUCACUAGGCUACUUUCCAAUCUGAUCUAAGAUAUAUUUAUUCAGUUACCUUCAAUAAACAGCAAAUUUCUAGGAACUCCCUUACACAAACCUUCAAAGUCUUGUAGAAGUUUCAUCAGACAACACAAUAGAUAUUUUGCAGAUCCUUGAAAUGUAAUUAGUAUUUUCCCAGUUACGUGCGCAUCUAAGAAACAAAGCAGAAAGACAACUACAGAAGGAAGAUACCACUUAUUCCCUUGUUCUGAAGAUUAAAAAAAAAAAACCCAAACUUUUCUGGGGUAGAUGCAUUUUCUAAAGCUAAGAUUCCGAUUCAGUUUUGGCCUCAUUUUAAAGAAGAAUGUUGUGGAUUAGAUUGAUUUGUAAGAUUUAAAGACAACUUGCAUAUCAAAGUGCAAAGACGGUAAGCAUAAUUCAUUUUCUUCUAUGAGAGUCAUUUCAUUCUCUACUAUUUGAGAAACAUCUGCAGGAUCCAUUAUGCGCCACACAUGUAAGAGUUAAGCUUUCAAUCAACCAAGCAAAGUCAUAUAAUUGUUGAUGACAGAGUCAGGAAAAGAUCUGGGGAUUCUUAAUUCUUAAAGUAAUAUAUUUUUGAGGUCUCUUAAGAACUGUAUUAUUUUUUCUAGAUAAUAAAAAUAAAAAAACUACAAAGGAGGUACAAAUUAUUAUGUAUAAAGUAAAUAAGCUACAGGAAUAUAUUGUACGGCACAAGGAAUACAGCCAAUAUUUUAUAAUAAUCUUAAAUGGGGUAUAAUUAUAAAAAUAUUGAAUCACUAUGUUGUAUACCUGAAACUAACAUAAUAUUGUAAAUCAACUAUCCUUCAAUAAAACAAAAAG
This 2497-nucleotide long non-coding RNA is filed under the name Sus scrofa (pig). Its description in RNAcentral is "lncRNA (ENSSSCG00025068827.1)". The record is from RNAcentral. Lineage: Eukaryota; Metazoa; Chordata; Mammalia; Artiodactyla; Suidae.